Molecule: long non-coding RNA, 94 nt
Organism: Ochotona curzoniae (black-lipped pika)
Lineage: Eukaryota; Metazoa; Chordata; Mammalia; Lagomorpha; Ochotonidae
Exons: 3
Source: RefSeq, a predicted model, not a curated record
UCUGGUUUUUGUAUCUGUCCAUUGAUGUCAAUUGGGUAUUAAGGUUCCCCACUAUUAUUGUAUUGAAAUCCAUUUCUCCAUUUAAAUCCAUUAA